GUACACUCCUACGGGAGGCAGCAGUGGGGAAUAUUGCACAAUGGGCGCAAGCCUGAUGCAGCCAUGCCGCGUGUGUGAAGAAGGCCUUCGGGUUGUAAAGCACUUUCAGCGGGGAGGAAGGCAAUGCGGUUAAUAACCGUGUUGAUUGACGUUACCCGCAGAAGAAGCACCGGCUAACUCCGUGCCAGCAGCCGCGGUAAUACGGAGGGUGCAAGCGUUAAUCGGAAUUACUGGGCGUAAAGCGCACGCAGGCGGUCUGUCAAGUCGGAUGUGAAAUCCCCGGGCUCAACCUGGGAACUGCAUUCGAAACUGGCAGGCUUGAGUCUUGUAGAGGGGGGUAGAAUUCCAGGUGUAGCGGUGAAAUGCGUAGAGAUCUGGAGGAAUACCGGUGGCGAAGGCGGCCCCCUGGACAAAGACUGACGCUCAGGUGCGAAAGCGUGGGGAGCAAACAGGAUUAGAAACCCCAGUAGUCCCAUGAU
RNAcentral lists this ribosomal RNA (479 nucleotides) under uncultured organism. RNAcentral describes it as "partial 16S ribosomal RNA". It matches the Rfam family "Bacterial small subunit ribosomal RNA", at positions 331 to 801 of the family's 1533-position model. The record is from RNAcentral.